AUUCCACGGACCUAGGACUCACCAAGAAUCUAGGUAAGUUCACUUAUGAUGAAUCUCUUAAUUUUAGGAUUUCAGAUGAUGGACUGUUCAAAUUUUAGAACUAAAUUUGGGUCCCCGUUGCUGUAGGGGGUGGAUGUUCUCAAGACCGCCCAUGCUUCUAAGCCAUCCAUCCAUCCCGGAAGUACCAAGAUGUAUUGAGACUUGAAG
RNAcentral lists this long non-coding RNA (207 nucleotides) under Carica papaya (papaya). RNAcentral's name for it is "long non-coding RNA (CPAP_LNC001230)". The record is from RNAcentral. Lineage: Eukaryota; Viridiplantae; Streptophyta; Magnoliopsida; Brassicales; Caricaceae.